AUCAAUGUUGGAAACUGAGAGUGAAGCAGGAGAUCAUCCUUCACAGGAGGCUGAGUUUGGUGACAAACUGAACUUUGACCACAAAUAGGUCUUAGUUUCAGAUGCUUCACAUACAAAGUAAAGAUCUUUGGUUUCCAGCAGUUUUCUGACCACGAACGUCCUGAAACUUUGUGUUUGUCACAAAGCUUUCCUUCCAGCCCAGCAGAUGGUGAGUUCCUCUCAUUCAUGGUUCUUUGCAGCUCCAGACCUUCCUCAGCCCUCAGUCUGGAUCCACAUGCUCCAACACAGCAAACCUGGACAAACAUGACAGGCGGAUCCUGUAAAGAAGUCAUGGUGGGAGACAGGCUUAUCACCACAACUUCACAAGACGAGGAGAGAAGAUGCUGAGAUGUUUGGAACCAACCCAAAGGAAACGGGAAACCCAACUACGGAUGGGCAGCCUAAUUCCGGAUCUUCUGCAGCUUCAGCAAUGACCAAAAAUUAGACAAAUUUUACAAGAGGCUAAGAUCUGCACCUGUUGGAGUUCCCCAAACCACCACUAGAGGGACGUCUGCAGCUGCCACGGGCAGAAGUUCCUCAUGAGGACAUGUCCUUCAGAGAACACGGAGUGUGGACGUCCUGUUAAAUCCCCACGGCUUCCCCUGAAAGAACAACCAGGAUGCUGACGAGAAGCGACGCCACCAGCUCCAUGAUGACACCUUCAGCGCCUCAGAGCCGCGCUACUUCAUGUCAAAGCAGAAGGCAGACAUUGUUCCAUCAACAGUUCUGAAGAACUCUUCUGGCUCAGAGGAACCACCACACUGCAGACCAGCAGACCCUCUUUUUGUGCUGAAAGGACGUUUUCGGUUCUGUUUGGUUGUUUCAAAUGAGUCUAUAAAAAGCUGUAAAAAUA
Molecule: non-coding RNA, 892 nt
Organism: Oryzias latipes (Japanese medaka)
Lineage: Eukaryota; Metazoa; Chordata; Actinopteri; Beloniformes; Adrianichthyidae
Source: RefSeq, a predicted model, not a curated record